This is a long non-coding RNA of Felis catus (domestic cat), 4014 nucleotides long. RefSeq lists it as uncharacterized. The record is from RefSeq and is a predicted model, not a curated record. The transcript is spliced from 2 exons. Lineage: Eukaryota; Metazoa; Chordata; Mammalia; Carnivora; Felidae.
AUUAAAAAAAAAUUUUAAAAGAAAAGAAGACAGAAACUAUAUGUGUAUAUGUGUACCCAGCACUCAGACACCUAAAUAUCUAUUAGCCACACAUCCUAGGUGUGUGGUUUUAUUGCCUUGGGGUAGGGCCUCAUAAAUCUAAAUAGAACUUGAAUCUGAGUGGACAGAUGACCUGAAAUUUUCCUAUUAUCCAUCCCAUGUGGUCUACUGAUGGCCAAAGUAAUCAAGAGUAGUUUUCAACAUUUAACAAUAACUCUUUUUAAAUUCUGAACCUUGAUGACAUUAGCUGAGACAGCAGUGCUCGAGGAAAGGAAAACAUCAAUUAUAAUGCACAAUAGGCACUGACAGUGACCUCUGAGCUAGAGACGGAAAUGUAUGUGUUAACAUUAGUAGAUACUAUUUGUUCAGGAAGGCCAUCCUUAAAGCCUUCUGCCUACAGGUUUUCCACAUGUCUGACAGUUACCUGACAUCAGCGACCUCAUCAGGCCAACUUGCCGCUGGGGUUCAGGCAGGGACCCUGCCUGGCUUUUCACUGAGAAAAGGUCCGUGUGGAGAAAGGGGUGUGUGGCUCUUGAGCAAUGCAGACUUGACUAUGGGCUUCUUGGAAUAGUGUCUUAAUGAUUUCUAAUUCUGGAAUAUAUAUCUGAGGAUAGCCCUCUGAAGUCACAAGUCAGUGUGUGUGAAGACUGGUAGAGAGGCAAAUCAAAAACCACAUCUUUCAUCCAGACUUCUGUCAGCACAGGAAGUAUUGCCUGAGUCGAGUCUCUCAGGUGAUUAUUGUUCAUUUCCAGUAGAACUUCCAGAAAACCGUUCAGGUCAGGCACACACACGCUCACACACACUCCGCUAUCACUAUGGUUCUGGUCAUUCAAAGUCGAGGAGGUGGGCAAGGGAAGUUGAGCAAGGGAACCGGCACCCCAGGCGGAACCAGAGCUCCAGCCUGGAGUUCCUGGGAGGCUUACAACUUUGUCCCCUCAGAGAGGACGUGGGAAUGAAAAUUGCCAGCCCUACUCAGCAGACAGUUGUGAUGGCUCAUUCCGGCGCCAACGCCGUCACGGGAAGUCCGGACGGAUGCGGCUAUAGGGCUGUUGAGCUCAGGGCACGUGCUGAAUCAAGCAUACCACGCGGCUCUCUAAAGCUUCCAUCGCUCACUCUUCUGCCUCAGAUCGGACACUUUCAGCUUGCUUUGAAAUGUCAGUUUUCACUGAAGAGCUUGGAAAAGGUGUUCCGUUUCUGUGGGGCCCACCACAUGGCUCUCCAAAGUAUUCCAGCCACCAUUCUUCGGGUGUCUUGAAGCCAUUUGCUGCGUCCUGACUCGAGACGUUGAUUCAAGUGCCUGCCACCCCUGAAGAAGAUUAUUUUCUCCAAAAAAGCUGGUGGCAAGGAAGACAGGAAAAUGUGUGAAAAGGAGAAAGUGGCCUGACCUAGACAGAACUAAAUGUCCCACACGUUCUUGAGCACCUUGUGCGUGCCGGGGAACUGAGACGAUAUGGAGACAUGAGACGGAGACACGUAAGCCUAUGUUUUUGUCUUCUUUAUCCUACAGACUAAUGAAGGAGCCAGGGACAGGAAACAUAUCUGGAGUACAGGAGACUCAAGCGCCCUAAUAAAGAUAGGUUCAAAGUAUGACACAGGACAGGGGCAGGGUGCUGGUUUGUGUGGUAGAAAUGACAAGGCCUCAUAGUCUCUUUAUAUAAAGGAUAUGCUAAGUGUUCGGCAAGCAGAGGAGAAAGGAAUUUCUGGAAAAGGGAAUGGCACGUGAAAUGGUGUAGAGAUGUGACAGAGAACCACUGUGCUCUGGGAAGCGGUAAAGGUCCAAUGUGACUGACACAGAAGCUGUCGGGGAGGGGCUGGUCAGGUGCCUGGAGUCCUGAGUGCGAAGUCCCUCGCAGGCCUUGCUAAAGCUCCCGGCUCCAACCACCUCUGGAGAAAAUUCCAUACAUGCAACAUCCCUUUGGGCACAGGUGCUAUAUCACGUGGCAGCCACCCCUCAGGAGGCAGCCUGGGGGUCACAGGCAUCAACUGGGAGAUCAGUUCAGGCAGAGAAAGGUUGGUGGGGACCUGGGUAUUGGCCCGCCUGCCCUCCACUUUGACGGAUGUAAGUGGCUCCUCCGAGGAAAAAAACUCAUCACUCACCACUCGUUAGAUGCUAAUCCAGACUCUAAAUGACACGGAUUCAUUCACUAAGUAUUUGCUGAACGUGCACACUGGGCAGGUGCUGCGUGUACAUCAGUGAAUACGACAGAUACUGUUCUUGAAACCUGGAGGCUUCUCGUGUAGCAGAGAGAUUGGAGGUUUGAAAACUGGCUGUGGGGGAAUGCAUGUCUCCCUCCCCCAGAGAGAGCUUAGGGAAAGCCCCCCUGAGGAAGGGAUCCGUGAACAGAGGUCUGAGGGGCAGAUACAUAGGGGCAACAGUGGGGGAGCCUGGCAGUGGGGGCACCACCUUCACGGUGCUUCUCAGGCAGGAAAGAGCAGCUUGAAUGGAGAGAAGGAAGUACUAUAAAUGGGAAGGGGAGACCGCAGAGGGGCCACUAGGGAGGGCUGAGGGCCAGGGAAGGCCAGAGCCGGAUGGCGGGGACCUAGGCCAGCUGUUCACUCCCGUUCCUCACGUGCCUUCGAUGCCCCAAGCACUGCAAGAUGAUUAAAAAAAAAAAAAAAAAAAAAAAGCCCUGGCCUCCCCGCGCUUACACUCUGGUGGACGGAGACAGACCAAUACACGAAGCCAGCACCCGGUGUGUUGGCCUGUGAGGACAGGAAUGGAGAGACUAAAGCACUGGAGGGGACAGGAGCGCUCAGGGCCGCAGCAUGGUGAGGAGUCUGUACUUACUUUCCUGUCUUUCUGUGUAGACCUGGUAUCGUUACAUUUGCAGCUUUAUUUUUAUUUUUAAAGUUGACUUAUUUAUUUUGAGAUAAAUGGGGGAGGGGGCAGAGAGAAAGGGAGAGACAGAGAAUCCCAACCAGGCUCUGCACUGUCAGCACAGAGCCCCACGCAGGGCUUGAACUCACAAACCGUGAGAUCAUGACCUGAGCGGAAACCAAGAGUCGGACACUUAACCGACUGAGCCACCCAGGCGCCCCUACAUUUGCAGUUUUAAAGAGCUCUGAUUACAGGAGAGAGAAACUCCGGAGGGGAACAAAAGGAGCUUGUGAUGCUGAAGUGGAGGGAAACACUGUGAGCCAGGGGUGUGGCUGAGGCCGCACAGUGGCAUUGCAGAUAAACUGCGCGAACACCCACAUUUUUAGGAAAAAGAAUGGGGGUGGGGGGAUUUGGCAAUUGAUUCCACAUAGGAGGCAGAGCAGUGGAAAGAGUCAAGGGUGAGUCAUACUUUUCUGGCCAGAACGAGUGGGUAUGCAGGAUUACUACUGAGCCGAGAGACACUGGCAGUAAAAUAUUUGCCUGGGAGGAGAAGGCUGCCGGGCAAGAGGGAGAUGCUUGGUUGCACUUCGGGGAUGAGGAGUUGCAGAUACGCAGGUAAUGCAAGCAGGGUGUCCAGCACCCGUGGAGGCAGCAGUGUGUCCAGCAGGCAGUGUCUGGAGCCCCUCCGGGCUGGGCUGAGGACAGGGCGGGGGACCUGCACGCACCCUGGGACUGACCAAACCCACAUGUGGAUGAGCUGGCCCUGCCCUGAAGUCCCUCUCAGGUGGGAAGAGGAAAUGGGUCCAAAGCAGCUUCAACUGACAGGCCAGCGCAACCCAUCCCACACCCUGCUGAGACCCCCUCCCGGCCUCCCCUGUGUACCCUCUCUGUGCGCUGCCGGCCGAAGUCGCCAUGACAAGGGACCAGGAGUCACAGCACCAAGACGCCGGAGCCUGUGCCUUCCCAUCCUCAUUUUUUACUUCAUACUUCAUUUCUGCUAUUAAUUAUUCAAAGCAAUACCACUUUCUGAGCAUAAACUGCUAGAAAAAAGAGAAGUAACGGACAUGUAUUAAGGGCUCUAUGUUCUCUUUGGGAGAAGAAGGUUUCAUCUAAACGUUUUUCAUUUGGACUAAUAAAUACUUUAUGUAACAUGUUAA